Molecule: ribosomal RNA, 425 nt
Filed under: uncultured bacterium
Lineage: Bacteria
Description: bacterial SSU rRNA
Rfam family: Bacterial small subunit ribosomal RNA
Source: RNAcentral
CUCAACUCCGGAAUUGCCCUCAAAACUGGUUCGCUAGAGUCCGGGAGAGGAGAGUGGAAUACCCAGUGUAGCGGUGAAAUGCGUAGAUAUGUGGAGGAACACCAGUGGCGAAGGCGACUUUCUGGCCUACAACUGACGCUGAGGCGCGAAAGCGUGGGGAGCAAACAGGAUUAGAUACCCUGGUAGUCCACGCUGUAAACGAUGAGUGCUAGGUGUUAGGGGUUUCGAUACCCUUGGUGCCGCAGUUAACACAUUAAGCACUCCGCCUGGGGAGUACGGCCGCAAGGCUGAAACUCAAAGGAAUUGACGGGGGCCCGCACAAGCAGUGGAGCAUGUGGUUUAAUUCGAAGCAACGCGAAGAACCUUACCAGGUCUUGACAUCCUCUGACAACCCUAGAGAUAGGGCGUUCCCCUUCGGGGGACAG